CCUCUCUAACAUCACUGAGUACACAGGACCUCACCAUGAGAUGGAACUGUAUCAUUCUCUUCCUGGCAGCAACGGCUAUAGGUGUCCACUCUCAGGUCCAGCUACAGCAGUCUGGGGCUGAGCUGGUGAGGCCUGGUGCCUCAGUGAAGAUGUCCUGCAAGGCUUCUGGCUACACAUUCACUGACUACAAUAUGCACUGGGUAAAGCAGAGUCAUGGAAAGAAUCUUGAGUGGAUUGGAAUUAUUAAUCCUUCCAAUGCUGGUACUAUCUGUAAUCAGAACUUCAAGGACAAGGCCACAUUGACUGUAGACAAAUCCUCCAGCACAGCCUAUAUGGAGCUUAGCAGAUUAACAUCUGAGGAUUCUGCUGUCUAUUACUGUGCAAGACACAGUGUUGCAACCACAUCCUGA
Grammomys surdaster is the source of this 410-nucleotide non-coding RNA. The record is from the annotation of a RefSeq genome assembly. Lineage: Eukaryota; Metazoa; Chordata; Mammalia; Rodentia; Muridae.